Molecule: ribosomal RNA, 574 nt
Filed under: uncultured bacterium
Lineage: Bacteria
Description: bacterial SSU rRNA
Rfam family: Bacterial small subunit ribosomal RNA
Source: RNAcentral
CCUACGGGAGGCAGCAGUGGGGAAUUUUCCGCAAUGGGCGAAAGCCUGACGGAGCAACGCCGCGUGGGUGAUGAAGUCUUUCGGGACGUAAAACCCUUUCAGCAGGGACGAACACAAUGACGGUACCUGCAGAAGAAGCAUCGGCUAACUACGUGCCAGCAGCCGCGGUAAUACGUAGGAUGCGAGCGUUGUCCGGAUUUAUUGGGCGUAAAGCGAACGUAGGCGGUUUCUUAAGUUUGGUCUUAAAGACCGGGGCUCAACCCCGGGAAUGGACUGAAUACUGGGAGACUAGAGGAUGUUAGAGGAAAGUGGAAUUCCAAGUGUAGCGGUGAAAUGCGUAGAUAUUUGGAGGAACACCAGUGGCGAAAGCGGCUUUCUGGGACAUUUCUGACGCUGAGGUUCGAAAGCUCGGGGAGCAAACAGGAUUAGAUACCCUGGUAGUCCGAGCCGUAAACGAUGGACACUAGGUGUCGGGGGGUAUCGACCCCCCCGGUCGCCGUAGCUAACGACGUUAAGUAGUCCGCCUCGGGGAGGUACGGUCGCGAAGACUGAAACUUAAAAUAGAAUUAGACGG